Xenia sp. Carnegie-2017 is the source of this 522-nucleotide long non-coding RNA. RefSeq lists it as uncharacterized. The record is from RefSeq and is a predicted model, not a curated record. The transcript is spliced from 3 exons. NCBI's taxonomy places the organism in Eukaryota, Metazoa, Cnidaria, Anthozoa, Malacalcyonacea, Xeniidae.
UCGCCAUCAAUAAUAAAAUAUCCCAAACAAAUGCCAGCUUUUGGAGGAGAUAAAAAAUGAAUUUAUUCAAGAUCUUGACAUACGUUAAAGGGUAAUUACCCUACAAAUUUGACUUCCUUGAUCAAGUCCAAGAUAUGUACAACUGUCCAAUGGUGAUAUAUUGACGAUAGUUAGAAAUUUCGUAGCAACUUCAGUGGAGAAAAACACCAGUACUGGCGCCUACAUAAAAAAAGAUGUUUCAAUGUUAUAGAGUCAAAUCUUUGCUUACAGAUGCUGCUUGCAUUUGUGUCACUUUUUCAAAAGAAAAUUUCUGCUUGCAUUUUAUGAUUUAGUUUAACAUGUAACUGAUGGAAUAAACUAAACUCUGUAAAUAUUUAAACUUCUCUUUCUCUUCUAUAGAUAUUUUAUUUCUUAGUAAAUUUUGUAAUUGUUUUUGAACAAAAGCACGCCCCUCGUGGAAAUCAACCCAGUUGACAAGGCCAGCGUGUCAAAAUAAAGAUUUUCAUUCAUUCAUUCUCAUAA